Molecule: ribosomal RNA, 301 nt
Filed under: uncultured bacterium
Lineage: Bacteria
Description: partial 16S ribosomal RNA
Rfam family: Bacterial small subunit ribosomal RNA
Source: RNAcentral
CAGUAGCCGCGGUAAUACGUAGGUGGCAAGCGUUGUCCGGAAUUAUUGGGCGUAAAGGGCUCGCAGACGGUUUCUUAAGUCUGAUGUGAAAGCCCCCGGCUCAACCGGGGAGGGUCAUUGGAAACUGGGAAACUUGAGUGCAGAAGAGGAGAGUGGAAUUCCACGUGUAGCGGUGUAAUGCGUAGAGAUGUGGAGGAACACCAGUGGCGAAGGCGACUCUCUGGUCUGUAACUGACGCUGAGGAGCGAAAGCUAGGGGAGCAAACAGGAUUAGAUACCCCCGUAGUCCCUGUCUCUUAUAC